RNAcentral lists this ribosomal RNA (198 nucleotides) under uncultured Mucoromycotina. RNAcentral describes it as "partial 26S ribosomal RNA". Lineage: Eukaryota; Fungi. The record is from RNAcentral.
CCAUGCAUGCAUGAUCUCGCACACAGGCGCAGUGAAGAGGAAAGAGCUCAAAGUUGGAACCUGUUUGGCCUAUCUUAUCCGGAUUGUAGACUGUAGAAGUGUUUUCCAGGCAAGCCGAUUAAAUAAGUCCUUUGGAACAGGGCAUCAUAGAGGGUGAGAAUCCCGUCUUUGGCUUGAGCAUUUGCCUUUUGUGAUACG